GGACAGAAAGACCCUAUGAAGCUUUACUGUAGUUUGGAAUUGGGUUCGGGCUCUUCUUGCGCAGCCUAGGUGGGAGGCUAUGAAGAUAAACUUUUGGGUUUAUUGGAGCCAACAGUGAGAGACCACUCUAGAGGAGCUAGAAUUCUAAUGGCGUUCCUUGAAGCAGGACGCUUGACAGUUUCAGAUGGGCAGUUUGACUGGGGCGGUCACCUCCUAAAAGGUAACGGAGGUGUGCAAAGGUUCCCUCAGGCUGGACGGAAAUCAGCCGUAGAGUGUAAAGGCAGAAGGGAGCUUGACUGCAAGACCUACAAGUCGAGCAGGGGCGAAAGCCGGCCUUAGUGAUCCGACGGUUCCGAGUGGGAGGGCCGUCGCUAAACGGAUAAAAGUUACUCUAGGGAUAACAGGCUGA
RNAcentral lists this ribosomal RNA (409 nucleotides) under uncultured organism. RNAcentral describes it as "bacterial LSU rRNA". It matches the Rfam family "Bacterial large subunit ribosomal RNA", at positions 2078 to 2485 of the family's 2925-position model. The record is from RNAcentral.